This 96-nucleotide small nuclear RNA is filed under the name Solanum lycopersicum (tomato). The record is from RNAcentral. Lineage: Eukaryota; Viridiplantae; Streptophyta; Magnoliopsida; Solanales; Solanaceae.
GUCCCUUUGGGGAAAUCUGGUAAAAUUAGAACGAUACAGAGAAAAUUAGCAUAUGUAAGAAUGACAUGCAAAAUUUGAGAAAUGGUCCAAAAAAAU